AUGCCUCCUCCGCCCACGGCCACGUCGCGACCGAACCCUCCCCUCCUCCUCCUCGCCCCGCCCCGCUCCCCGCCCGCCGCGCGCCACCUCGCCCCGCGGAGCAGGCGCCUCAGCUCCUCCUCCACCACCCGCGUGGCCGUCUCGCCGUCGCCGCCGCCGCCUUCGUCGACGGCGGCCUCCGACACGAGCGCGGCGCUGCGGGCGCUCUGCGUGCACGGCCAGCUGCCGCAGGCGCUCUGGCUGCUCGAGUCCUCCCCGGAGCCGCCCGACGAGGACGCCUACGUGGCGCUCUUCCACCUCUGCGAGUGGCGCCGGGCCGCGGACGCCGGGAUGCGCGCCUGCGAGCACGCCGACGCCGCGCACCCCACCUUCGGCCUCCGCCUCGGCAACACCAUGCUCAGCAUGCUCGUCCGCUUCGGCGAGUCGUGGCACGCCUGGGGCGUGUUCGCCAAAAUGCCCCAGCGGGACGUCUUCUCCUGGAACAUCAUGGUGGGCGGCUACGGCAAGGCCGGGUUCCUGGAGGAGGCGCUCGACCUGUACCACCGGAUGCUCUGGGCCGGGGUCAGGCCCGACGUCUACACCUUCCCCUGCGUGCUGCGCACCUGCGGGGGCGUCCCCGACUUGAGGAUGGGGAGGGAGGUGCACGCCCAUGUCCUGAGGUUUGGGUUCGGGGUCGAGGUCGACGUGCUCAAUGCUCUCGUGACCAUGUAUGCCAAGUGCGGGGACGUCGGGGCUGCACGGAAGGUGUUUGACGGUAUGGCCUUGACGGACUGCAUUUCUUGGAACGCCAUGAUUGCUGGGCAUUUCGAGAAUCAUGAGCGGGAGGCGGGGCUGGAGUUAUUUCUGAACAUGCUGGAGAAUGAGGUGCAGCCGAAUCUCAUGACGAUAACCAGCGUGACUGUUGCGUCCGGAUUGCUGUCUGACCUUGAAUUUGCAAAGGAAAUGCAUGCGUUAGCAGUAAAAAGAGGUUUUGCCACUGAUGUUGCGUACUGCAACUCUUUGAUUCAGAUGUAUACUAGUCUUGGGAGGAUGGCGGAAGCAUGCACGAUAUUCUCAAGAAUGGAGACCAGAGAUGCCAUGUCAUGGACAGCCAUGAUAUCAGGGUAUGAGAAAAACGGCUUCCCAGACAAAGCUCUUGAAAUGUAUGCACUGAUGGAAGUAAAUAAUGUUAGUCCUGAUGAUGUUACUGUAGCAAGCGCUCUUGCUGCUUGUGCUUCCUUGGGGCGAGUAGAUGUUGGAAUCAAGCUGCAUGAGAUUGCUACAAGCAGGGGAUUCAUCAGGUACAUUGUAGUUGCAAAUGCACUCCUUGAAAUGUAUGCAAAGUCCAAGCACAUUGAUAAAGCGAUCGAAGUUUUUAAGUACAUGCCUGAAAAGGAUGUAAUAUCAUGGAGUUCAAUGAUCGCGGGCUUUUGCUUUAACCAUAAGUGCUUUGAGGCUCUGUUCUGUUUCCGGCAUAUGCUGGCAGAUGUAAAACCCAAUUCUGUUACUUUCAUCGCUGCUCUUGCUGCUUGUGCUGCUACUGGAUCUUUGAGGUAUGGUAAAGAGAUUCAUGCACAUGUUUUAAGGCGAGGUCUGGCAUCUGAAGGUUAUGUACCCAAUGCUCUUCUGGACUUGUAUGUGAAAUGUGGCCAUACAGGCUAUGCUUGGGCACAGUUCAGUGCGCAUGGUGAAAAGGAUGUUGUAUCUUGGAAUAUCAUGCUUGCUGGUUUUGUUGCUCAUGGACAUGGAGAUAUUGCUUUAUCAUUCUUCAACGAGAUGCUAGAAACUGGAGAGCAUCCGGAUGAAGUUACAUUCGUUGCUCUAUUGUGUGGUUGCAGUAGGGCUGGAAUGGUUAGUCAAGGUUGGGAACUUUUUCACCGCAUGACUGAGGAAUACUCAAUUGUUCCAAAUCUCAAGCACUAUGCAUGCAUGGUGGAUUUACUGAGCCGUGUUGGGAGAUUAACACAAGCUUACGACUUCAUAAAUAGAAUGCCUAUCACACCAGAUGCUGCUGUAUGGGGAGCCUUGUUGAACGGAUGUCGGAUACACCGGCAUACUGAACUUGGGGAGCUUGCUGCCAAAUUUGUCCUUGAGUUGGAACCUAAUGAUGCUGGAUAUCAUGUUCUUUUGUCUGAUUUAUAUGCUGAUGCUGGCAAAUGGGCUGAAGUGGCUAGAGUGAGAAAAACCAUGCGAGAGAAGGGAUUGGAGCAAGACUAUGGGUGUAGCUGGGUUGAGGUUAAAGGAGAUAUUCAUGCAUUUCUUACAGGUGAUGAAUCGCACCCGCAGAUCAAAGAAAUAAAUGCUGUUCUACAUAGCAUAUAUGAGAGGAUGAAAGCAUCUGGUUUUGAUCCUAUUGAAUCUUAUUCUUUAGAAGAUAAAGAAGUAUCCAAGGAUGACGUUUUAUGUGGCCACAGUGAAAGACUAGCUGUCGCUUUUGGUCUCAUCAAUACCACACCUGGCACCUCUAUUUUUGUCACAAAGAACCAGUACACUUGCCAGAGCUGUCACGGUAUAUUGAGUAUGAUUUCUAAGAUAGUUCGCAGAGAGAUAAUUGUCAGGGACACCAAGGAAUUCCACCAUUUUAGGGACGGAAGUUGUUCAUGCGGAGGUUCAGGCUAA
RNAcentral lists this ribosomal RNA (2598 nucleotides) under Triticum aestivum (bread wheat). RNAcentral describes it as "partial small subunit ribosomal RNA". The record is from RNAcentral. Lineage: Eukaryota; Viridiplantae; Streptophyta; Magnoliopsida; Poales; Poaceae.